GACGAACGCUGGCGGCGUGCUUAACACAUGCAAGUCGAGCGGUAAGGCCCUUUCGGGGGUACACGAGCGGCGAACGGGUGAGUAACACGUGGGUGACCUGCCCUCAGCUCUGGGAUAAGCCCGGGAAACUGGGUCUAAUACCGGAUAUGACUCCAUGACGCAUGUUGUGGGGUGGAAAGCCUUGUGCGGCUGAGGAUGGGCCCGCGGCCUAUCAGCUUGUUGGUGGGGUGAUGGCCUACCAAGGCGACGACGGGUAGCCGGCCUGAGAGGGCGACCGGCCACACUGGGACUGAGACACGGCCCAGACUCCUACGGGAGGCAGCAGUGGGGAAUUUUGGACAAUGGGCGCAAGCCUGAUCCAGCCAUGCCGCGUGACGGGAAGAAGGCCUU
This 390-nucleotide ribosomal RNA is filed under the name uncultured bacterium. RNAcentral describes it as "bacterial SSU rRNA". It matches the Rfam family "Bacterial small subunit ribosomal RNA", at positions 28 to 418 of the family's 1533-position model. The record is from RNAcentral.